RNAcentral lists this unclassified non-coding RNA (339 nucleotides) under uncultured fungus. RNAcentral describes it as "partial contains 5.8S ribosomal RNA and internal transcribed spacer 2". The stretch from base 1 to 133 matches the Rfam family "5.8S ribosomal RNA", at positions 22 to 154 of the family's 154-position model. The record is from RNAcentral. Lineage: Eukaryota; Fungi.
UGGCUCUGGCAUCGAUGAAGAACGCAGCGAAAUGCGAUACGUAAUGCGAAUUGCAGAAUUUAGCGAGUCAUCGAAUCUUUGAACGCACAUUGCGCCUGCCAGUAUUCUGGCAGGCAUGCCUGUCCGAGCGUCAUUUCACCGCUCAGGCGGCCUUCGGGCUGCCCGGUGUUGGGGCCCCUGUCGGCACCCCCCGAACAGGCCCCGAAAAUCAUCGGCGGGGCACGCCGAGCUCCCUAGCGCAGCAGUACGUCUCCUCGCUCAGGGCGGCCCGGCGGCGCUCUAGGCCGUCGACAGACCAUCAGAGAGUUUGACCUCGGAUCAGACAGGACUACCCGCUGA